AGAGUUUGAUCAUGGCUCAGGAUGAACGCUAGCGGCAGGCUUAACACAUGCAAGUCGAGGGGUAUAGGUUUUCGGACCUAGAGACCGGCGCACGGGUGCGUAACGCGUAUGCAAUCUACCUUUUACAGAGGGAUAGCCCAGAGAAAUUUGGAUUAAUACCUCAUAGUAUUAUUGAGUGGCAUCAUUUAAUAAUUAAAGUUCCAACGGUAAAAGAUGAGCAUGCGUCCCAUUAGCUAGAUGGUAAGGUAACGGCUUACCAUGGCGACGAUGGGUAGGGGUCCUGAGAGGGAGAUCCCCCACACUGGUACUGAGACACGGACCAGACUCCUACGGGAGGCAGCAGUGAGGAAUAUUGGUCAAUGGGCGCAAGCCUGAACCAGCCAUGCCGCGUGCAGGAUGACGGUCCUAUGGAUUGUAAACUGCUUUUGUACAGGAAGAAACAGUUCUACGUGUAGAACCUUGACGGUACUGUAAGAAUAAGGAUCGGCUAACUCCGUGCCAGCAGCCGCGGUAAUAC
Molecule: ribosomal RNA, 517 nt
Filed under: uncultured bacterium
Lineage: Bacteria
Description: bacterial SSU rRNA
Rfam family: Bacterial small subunit ribosomal RNA
Source: RNAcentral